RNAcentral lists this ribosomal RNA (713 nucleotides) under Neobacillus bataviensis. RNAcentral describes it as "bacterial SSU rRNA". It matches the Rfam family "Bacterial small subunit ribosomal RNA", at positions 61 to 757 of the family's 1533-position model. Lineage: Bacteria; Bacillati; Bacillota; Bacilli; Caryophanales; Bacillaceae. The record is from RNAcentral.
GUCGAGCGAAUCUUUGGGAGCUUGCUCCCAUUGGUUAGCGGCGGACGGGUGAGUAACACGUGGGCAACCUGCCUGUAAGACUGGGAUAACUUCGGGAAACCGGAGCUAAUACCGGAUAAUCUUUUUCCUCUCAUGAGGAAAAACUGAAAGACGGUUUCGGCUGUCACUUACAGAUGGGCCCGCGGCGCAUUAGCUAGUUGGUGAGGUAACGGCUCACCAAGGCGACGAUGCGUAGCCGACCUGAGAGGGUGAUCGGCCACACUGGGACUGAGACACGGCCCAGACUCCUACGGGAGGCAGCAGUAGGGAAUCUUCCACAAUGGACGAAAGUCUGAUGGAGCAACGCCGCGUGAGCGAUGAAGGCCUUCGGGUCGUAAAGCUCUGUUGUUAGGGAAGAACAAGUAUCGGAGUAACUGCCGGUACCUUGACGGUACCUAACCAGAAAGCCACGGCUAACUACGUGCCAGCAGCCGCGGUAAUACGUAGGUGGCAAGCGUUGUCCGGAAUUAUUGGGCGUAAAGCGCGCGCAGGCGGUCCUUUAAGUCUGAUGUGAAAGCCCACGGCUCAACCGUGGAGGGUCAUUGGAAACUGGGGGACUUGAGUGCAGAAGAGGAAAGCGGAAUUCCACGUGUAGCGGUGAAAUGCGUAGAGAUGUGGAGGAACACCAGUGGCGAAGGCGGCUUUCUGGUCUGUAACUGACGCUGAGGCGCGAA